UAUGGAAUCUUCCGCAAUGGGCGAAAGCCUGACGGAGCAACGCCGCGUUAGUGAUGAAGGUCUUCGGAUCGUAAAACUCUGUUAUUAGGGAAGAACAAAUGUGUAAGUAACUAUGCACGUCUUGACGGUACCUAAUCAGAAAGCCACGGCUAACUACGUGCCAGCAGCCGCGGUAAUACGUAGGUGGCAAGCGUUCUCCGGAAUUAUUGGGCGUAAAGCGCGCGUAGGCGGUUUUUUAAGUCUGAUGUGAAAGCCCACGGCUCAACCGUGGAGGGUCAUUGGAAACUGGAAAACUUGAGUGCAGAAGAGGAAAGGGGAAUUCCAUGUGUAGCGGUGAAAUGCGCAGAGAUAUGGGGGAACACGAGUGGAGAAGGCGACUUUCUGGUCUGUAACUGACGCUGAUGUGCGAAAGCGUGGGGAUCAAACAGG
RNAcentral lists this ribosomal RNA (429 nucleotides) under Actinomycetes bacterium. RNAcentral describes it as "Actinobacteria bacterium partial 16S ribosomal RNA". It matches the Rfam family "Bacterial small subunit ribosomal RNA", at positions 355 to 776 of the family's 1533-position model. Lineage: Bacteria; Bacillati; Actinomycetota; Actinomycetes. The record is from RNAcentral.